UACGUAGGGUGCGAGCGUUAAUCGGAAUUACUGGGCGUAAAGCGUGCGCAGGCGGCGAUGUAAGUCCGAUGUGAAAUCCCCGGGCUUAACCUGGGAACUGCAUUGGUGACUGCAUUGCUGGAGUAUGGCAGAGGGGGGUGGAAUUCCACGUGUAGCAGUGAAAUGCGUAGAGAUGUGGAGGAACACCGAUGGCGAAGGCAGCCCCCUGGGCCAAUACUGACGCUCAUGCACGAAAGCGUGGGGAGCAAACAGG
This 253-nucleotide ribosomal RNA is filed under the name uncultured bacterium. Its description in RNAcentral is "partial 16S ribosomal RNA". It matches the Rfam family "Bacterial small subunit ribosomal RNA", at positions 524 to 776 of the family's 1533-position model. The record is from RNAcentral.